UGAUACUAAGCCAUGCGAGUCAUUGCAGUAAUGCAAGGCAGACGGCUCAGUAACGCGUAGUCAACCUACCCUAUGGACGGGAAUAACCCCGGGAAACUGAGUAUAAUGCCCGAUAGAACACUAUUCCUGGAAUGGUUUGUGUUCCAAAUGAUUUAUCGCCGUAGGAUGGGACUGCGGCCUAUCAGUUUGUUGGUGAGGUAAUGGCCCACCAAGACUAUUACAGGUACGGGCUCUGAGAGGAGUAGCCCGGAGAUGGGUACUGAGACACGGACCCAGGCCCUAUGGGGCGCAGCAGGCGAGAAAACUUUGCAAUGUGCGAAAGCACGACAAGGUUAAUCCGAGUGGUUUGUGCUAAACGAACCUUUUGACAGUCCUAGAAACACUGUUGAAUAAGGGGUGGGCAAGUUCUGGUGUCAGCCGCCGCGGUAAAACCAGCACCUCAAGUGGUCAGGAUGAUUAUUGGGCCUAAAGCAUCCGUAGCCGGCUCUGUAAGUUUUCGGUUAAAUCUGUACGCUCAACGUACAGGCUGCCGGGAAUACUGCAGAGCUAGGGAGUGGGAGAGGUAGACGGUACUCGGUAGGAAGGGGUAAAAUCCUUUGAUCUAUUGAUGACCACCUGUGGCGAAGGCGGUCUACCAGAACACGUCCGACGGUGAGGGAUGAAAGCUGGGGGAGCAAACCGGAUUAGAUACCCGGGUAGUCCCAGCUGUAAACUAUGCAAACUCAGUGAUGCAUUGGCUUGUGGCCAAUGCAGUGCUGCAGGGAAGCCGUUAAGUUUGCCGCCUGGGAAGUACGUACGCAAGUAUGAAACUUAAAGGAAUUGGCGGGGGAGCACCACAAGGGGUGAAGCCUGCGGUUCAAUUGG
This 864-nucleotide ribosomal RNA is filed under the name uncultured archaeon. RNAcentral describes it as "bacterial SSU rRNA". It matches the Rfam family "Archaeal small subunit ribosomal RNA", at positions 39 to 909 of the family's 1478-position model. The record is from RNAcentral.